Molecule: long non-coding RNA, 3189 nt
Filed under: Homo sapiens (human)
Lineage: Eukaryota; Metazoa; Chordata; Mammalia; Primates; Hominidae
Description: HSALNT0296822
Source: RNAcentral
AUGUUGAGUGUGGCCGAAAGGUGGGAGCGAAAUAAAACAAGGAGCAGAACCGCGAAGAAGCCAUGUUUGGUGCGUCGAAGUUUAAACUCGUAGGACUUGGGAGGAGCCAAGGUAUAUCCGCAGAAGAGACCACCCCUGCCCUUUCGCUUUGACGCUCAUUGGGCCUUUUGGCUGCGCAUUUCACCCCGGGCUGAGAAAACAAGCUGGGGAUUCGACAAGAAUGAACUCAAAGUCUGGAAACGGCAGCUUCUGAGAGUUUACAAUGUUUCACCAACUGUCGUCCAAAUAAGUCGUCACCCCUGUCAGAGUAGUUGCAGCUCUGCCGUUACCCACUGCUGUCACUGUGGCCGUUUUAUUCGCGAGGGUUACAGUUCUGUUUAGCAUGCAUCUAAUGACUUAAGACUCCACGCAAGUAAAACGGAGUUUCCUCCCAUUAAGUAUUGGCUUUGCUUUAACAGUGCUUUGAGAGGCUCUCUGUGGCCAACAUAUCUUCUCAUAUCUUUGUCCUCGUUUCCCAAUCUCCGCGUGGUGAAAUCAUCUAUCAAGACUUGGCUUAAAGGACCUCUCUUCUGCAAAUAAUGCCAUCUUCCGCUAGGUGCUCACUGCACACAGACUCGCCGCCCACCACUUCUGUCCACCUUCUGAACUCCGAUAGUUAUUUACCCAGAGACUGUUUCUCAUCUUUAAGUGUCGUGAAGACUUUAAGAUCUGUUUUAUCUCUCUAUACCCCAAAAUGGCCUAGCACAGUAACUAGGACAUUGUAGGUGCUCAAUAAAUGUUUGUCGAAUAUCAAUGACAGCAGGAGGCAGUAAAUGGUCCCUCUUUGUAGGGCCUACAGCUGUGCCUGAGUAGGAUGUACAGAAGUCCUGCAUACGUGUGAAGUGUCUCCAGGAAGCUGCACUGGAGGGGACAGGAAAUGUGGGUAAUCGUAUGGUGCAAGUGGUAGCAAAAAAGACAACAUAAGGAAAAUGUUAUUUAGGUUUUGCCCAGUCUUGCUGUUUAAAGCCCUGUGUUAGAUGCUUUUCAUGCGCUAUUUUACUGAAUGUAAACAACCACCUUAUUAAAUAUACUCACUUUUUUAAAACGAAGAAACACGUACUGGCCGGUCACAGUGGCUCACGCCUGUAAUCUCAGCACUUUGCGGGGCCGAGGCGGGUGGAUCACGAGGUCAGGAGUACAAGACCAGCCUGGCCAAGAUGGUGAAACCCCGUCUCUACUAAAAAUACAAAAAUUAGCCGGGCGUGGUGGCGGGUGCCUGUAAUCCCAGCUACUCGGGAGGCGGAGGCAGGAGUAUCGCUUGAACCUGCGAGGCGGAGGUUGCAGUGAGCCGGGAUCGCACCACUGCACUCCAGCCUGGGCAACAGAGUGAGACUCCAUCUCAAAAAAAUAAAAAAAAAGAAAGAAAGAAAGAAAAAGAAACAAGUACUGAAAAAGCUAAGUAAUUUGCCCAAUUUUAUACCAUCAAUAAAAGGGAGCUGUAAGCUUUGGGAUCUGCUUUGCCCCAAAGCCUGUUUAUACUUUUUCAGCCCCAUGCUAUCCCCUUGACAACAGAGAAGACACCAAAGUUCUGUCACUGUGCUCAGAGCAGGGUUACCCUGGUAUCAGCCUAUGCACAAUUUCUACUUCUUAUACCUUGUGUUGGUCUGUCUUCUCCUCGCCUCCUAAAUUCCCCAAGCACAUCAAUGUCUUUCUUUUCUAAUAUCCCGUUACUCUUGUGUUUACCCUACAGAUUGGCCCUGAAUCUAUCAAGUUUUGUACUAGUUGCAUAUAGUUUCAUGAGAGUAAUUAAUCUCUGGAACAAGAUUGGAGGUUUACUGUGGAAAGGUUUGUGGCCCUUCCCAGACGUCUCCGCAGUGUUAGGCCGGUAAUAGGUAUUCAAUAUGGCUCCCUUGUUUCUCCUACUUUUUAGUAGACACUAAGAUUGCAUUUUUCUUUAUAUUCUUUGUUGAUUACUGUGGCCUUGACUCUCACCACUCUUUGGAUAACUGGAUCUUGGCCCUAGACUAAAUCUCCAAUUACCCGUUACCCAUCUUCACAUAGAUACAGAAGUCACCAGCACCUUCAGCUCCCAUAUUAAGGUUAUCAUUUUUCCUCCCUCAGUCUCACAAAGCCAGCUCCUCCUCGUUUCCUCUGUAUUUCUGUUCAUGGCCGUCACAGAACACUCUUCUGAGAACUAAGAGAACCAAAGUUUCAGAAAUAUUAUAUACUCCUCUGUACGCCUUGCUCCCACCCAGUUAUGAAGUCUCUAAAUACCACUGAUGCAUAUUUCUUAUAUGUACUUCCCUUUUGUCUGAUUGCACCACUGCCUUCCUAAUUUAGACUGUCAUUUCUACUGCCCAAAUGAUUAUAGUAGUAUUUCCACAGUUCAGCUUGAGUUUUGUCUCUAUCAUGUCUCUACCUGCCAAGGGACAAAUGCUUUUGGAAUCCUGAUCUGACAUGAAAAAAGUUCACCUGAAGCUGCCAUCCUGGAAGACUAUGAGAUGGAGAUGCCCAAGAAGCCCCAGGUAUUCCUAAUCCCAAUUGUUUAAGUCUUUCCAGUGUUAACCACCAGACAUGUGAUGGAUUAAGGACUCCAGAUUAUUCCAGUUCCCAGCUGUCUUAGUCAGGGUUCUCCGGAGAAGUUAUCACAUGAUUACAGAGGCUGGCAAGUCUGACGUCUGCAGGGUAGACCAGCAAGUCAGAGACCCAUGGAAGUUGAUGUUGCAGCUCAAGUCCAAAGGCAAUCUGCUGGCAGAAUCCUCUCUUCUGUUUCCUCAGUGUGUUUUUACUUAAGAAACUGAUUGGAUGAGCCCCACCCACAUUAUGGAGGGAAAUUGCCAGUGCUCUGGAUGCAAAUGGAUUUUUCCUUAGGAAUUCAGAGUUGCUGAGUUUUGCAUCAAGACUGAAAGAGGCCAAAAAGAGAAGCUGUGUGGUAGGACUGUGUGAUGACUCAUCCUACUCAAAAUUCUCUAGACUCGGUUUGUGCAAUAUUGGAUUCUACAAUGCUGAGCAAGGGAAGAAAAGUGUUUAAAGGAGAGCCACAAAUAAGAAUAUAUAGGUUGAAUAUAAACUUUAUAGAGCCUGAAUAGAUUGGAAUGGAAUAGAUGGAGGCUUCACACUCCUUCCCACAUGCAUUGUCCUAUGCAUCUCUUCAUCUGGUGUUCAUCGGUAUCCUUUGUAAUAUCCUUUAUAAUAAGCUAGUAAAUGUGA